ACGAACGCUGGCGGCGUGCUUAACACAUGCAAGUCGAACGGAAAGGCCCUGCUUGCAGGGUACUCGAGUGGCGAACGGGUGAGUAACACGUGGGUGAUCUGCCCUGCACUUCGGGAUAAGCCUGGGAAACUGGGUCUAAUACCGGAUAGGAGCCAUUUUUAGUGUGAUGGUUGGAAAGUUUUUUCGGUGUAGGAUGAGCUCGCGGCCUAUCAGCUUGUUGGUGGGGUAAUGGCCUACCAAGGCGGCGACGGGUAGCCGGCCUGAGAGGGUGGACGGCCACAUUGGGACUGAGAUACGGCCCAGACUCCUACGGGAGGCAGCAGUGGGGAAUAUUGCACAAUGGGCGCAAGCCUGAUGCAGCGACGCCGCGUGGGGGAUGACGGCCUUCGGGUUGUAAACUCCUUUCGCUAGGGACGAAGCUUUUUGUGACGGUACCUAGAUAAGAGGCACCGGCUAACUACGU
Molecule: ribosomal RNA, 463 nt
Filed under: uncultured bacterium
Lineage: Bacteria
Description: partial 16S ribosomal RNA
Rfam family: Bacterial small subunit ribosomal RNA
Source: RNAcentral